GGGUUGUGAGGUUAAGCGACUAAGCGUACACGGUGGAUGCCCUGGCAGUCAGAGGCGAUGAAGGACGUGCUAAUCUGCGAUAAGCGUCGGUAAGGUGAUAUGAACCGUUAUAACCGGCGAUUUCCGAAUGGGGAAACCCAGUGUGUUUCGACACACUAUCAUUAACUGAAUCCAUAGGUUAAUGAGGCGAACCGGGGGAACUGAAACAUCUAAGUACCCCGAGGAAAAGAAAUCAACCGAGAUUCCCCCAGUAGCGGCGAGCGAACGGGGAGCAGCCCAGAGCCUGAAUCAGUGUGUGUGUUAGUGGAAGCGUCUGGAAAGGCGCGCGAUACAGGGUGACAGCCCCGUACACAAAAAUGCACAUGCUGUGAGCUCGAUGAGUAGGGCGGGACACGUGGUAUCCUGUCUGAAUAUGGGGGGACCAUCCUCCAAGGCUAAAUACUCCUGACUGACCGAUAGUGAACCAGUACCGUGAGGGAAAGGCGAAAAGAACCCCGGCGAGGGGAGUGAAAAAGAACCUGAAACCGUGUACGUACAAGCAGUGGGAGCACGCUUAGGCGUGUGACUGCGUACCUUUUGUAUAAUGGGUCAGCGACUUAUAUUCUGUAGCAAGGUUAACCGAAUAGGGGAGCCGAAGGGAAACCGAGUCUUAACUGGGCGUUAAGUUGCAGGGUAUAGACCCGAAACCCGGUGAUCUAGCCAUGGGCAGGUUGAAGGUUGGGUAACACUAACUGGAGGACCGAACCGACUAAUGUUGAAAAAUUAGCGGAUGACUUGUGGCUGGGGGUGAAAGGCCAAUCAAACCGGGAGAUAGCUGGUUCUCCCCGAAAGCUAUUUAGGUAGCGCCUCGUGAAUUCAUCUCCGGGGGUAGAGCACUGUUUCGGCAAGGGGGUCAUCCCGACUUACCAACCCGAUGCAAACUGCGAAUACCGGAGAAUGUUAUCACGGGAGACACACGGCGGGUGCUAACGUCCGUCGUGAAGAGGGAAACAACCCAGACCGCCAGCUAAGGUCCCAAAGUCAUGGUUAAGUGGGAAACGAUGUGGGAAGGCCCAGACAGCCAGGAUGUUGGCUUAGAAGCAGCCAUCAUUUAAAGAAAGCGUAAUAGCUCACUGGUCGAGUCGGCCUGCGCGGAAGAUGUAACGGGGCUAAACCAUGCACCGAAGCUGCGGCAGCGACACUAUGUGUUGUUGGGUAGGGGAGCGUUCUGUAAGCCUGUGAAGGUGUGCUGUGAGGCAUGCUGGAGGUAUCAGAAGUGCGAAUGCUGACAUAAGUAACGAUAAAGCGGGUGAAAAGCCCGCUCGCCGGAAGACCAAGGGUUCCUGUCCAACGUUAAUCGGGGCAGGGUGAGUCGACCCCUAAGGCGAGGCCGAAAGGCGUAGUCGAUGGGAAACAGGUUAAUAUUCCUGUACUUGGUGUUACUGCGAAGGGGGGACGGAGAAGGCUAUGUUGGCCGGGCGACGGUUGUCCCGGUUUAAGCGUGUAGGCUGGUUUUCCAGGCAAAUCCGGAAAAUCAAGGCUGAGGCGUGAUGACGAGGCACUACGGUGCUGAAGCAACAAAUGCCCUGCUUCCAGGAAAAGCCUCUAAGCAUCAGGUAACAUCAAAUCGUACCCCAAACCGACACAGGUGGUCAGGUAGAGAAUACCAAGGCGCUUGAGAGAACUCGGGUGAAGGAACUAGGCAAAAUGGUGCCGUAACUUCGGGAGAAGGCACGCUGAUAUGUAGGUGAAGUCCCUUGCGGAUGGAGCUGAAAUCAGUCGAAGAUACCAGCUGGCUGCAACUGUUUAUUAAAAACACAGCACUGUGCAAACACGAAAGUGGACGUAUACGGUGUGACGCCUGCCCGGUGCCGGAAGGUUAAUUGAUGGGGUCAGCGCAAGCGAAGCUCUUGAUCGAAGCCCCGGUAAACGGCGGCCGUAACUAUAACGGUCCUAAGGUAGCGAAAUUCCUUGUCGGGUAAGUUCCGACCUGCACGAAUGGCGUAAUGAUGGCCAGGCUGUCUCCACCCGAGACUCAGUGAAAUUGAACUCGCUGUGAAGAUGCAGUGUACCCGCGGCAAGACGGAAAGACCCCGUGAACCUUUACUAUAGCUUGACACUGAACAUUGAGCCUUGAUGUGUAGGAUAGGUGGGAGGCUUUGAAGUGUGGACGCCAGUCUGCAUGGAGCCGACCUUGAAAUACCACCCUUUAAUGUUUGAUGUUCUAACGUGGACCCGUGAUCCGGGUUGCGGACAGUGUCUGGUGGGUAGUUUGACUGGGGCGGUCUCCUCCUAAAGAGUAACGGAGGAGCACGAAGGUUGGCUAAUCCUGGUCGGACAUCAGGAGGUUAGUGCAAUGGCAUAAGCCAGCUUGACUGCGAGCGUGACGGCGCGAGCAGGUGCGAAAGCAGGUCAUAGUGAUCCGGUGGUUCUGAAUGGAAGGGCCAUCGCUCAACGGAUAAAAGGUACUCCGGGGAUAACAGGCUGAUACCGCCCAAGAGUUCAUAUCGACGGCGGUGUUUGGCACCUCGAUGUCGGCUCAUCACAUCCUGGGGCUGAAGUAGGUCCCAAGGGUAUGGCUGUUCGCCAUUUAAAGUGGUACGCGAGCUGGGUUUAGAACGUCGUGAGACAGUUCGGUCCCUAUCUGCCGUGGGCGCUGGAGAACUGAGGGGGGCUGCUCCUAGUACGAGAGGACCGGAGUGGACGCAUCACUGGUGUUCGGGUUGUCAUGCCAAUGGCACUGCCCGGUAGCUAAAUGCGGAAGAGAUAAGUGCUGAAAGCAUCUAAGCACGAAACUUGCCCCGAGAUGAGUUCUCCCUGACUCCUUGAGAGUCCUGAAGGAACGUUGAAGACGACGACGUUGAUAGGCCGGGUGUGUAAGCGCAGCGAUGCGUUGAGCUAACCGGUACUAAUGAACCGUGAGGCUUAACCUUACAACGCCGAAGGUGUUU
Molecule: ribosomal RNA, 2930 nt
Filed under: Escherichia coli
Lineage: Bacteria; Pseudomonadati; Pseudomonadota; Gammaproteobacteria; Enterobacterales; Enterobacteriaceae
Description: 23S ribosomal RNA
Rfam family: Bacterial large subunit ribosomal RNA
Source: RNAcentral